GAUGAACGCUGGCGGCGUGCCUAACACAUGCAAGUCGAGCGAUUCUCUUCGGAGAAGAGCGGCGGACGGGUGAGUAACGCGUGGGUAACCUGCCCUGUACACACGGAUAACAUACCGAAAGGUAUGCUAAUACGAGAUAAUAUACUUUUAUCGCAUGGUAGAAGUAUCAAAGUUUUUGCGGUACAGGAUGGACCCGCGUCUGAUUAGCUAGUUGGUAAGGUAACGGCUUACCAAGGCGACGAUCAGUAGCCGACCUGAGAGGGUGAUCGGCCACAUUGGAACUGAGACACGGUCCAAACUCCUACGGGAGGCAGCAGUGGGGAAUAUUGCACAAUGGGCGAAAGCCUGAUGCAGCAACGCCGCGUGAGCGAUGAAGGCCUUCGGGACGUAAGCUCUGUCCUCAAGGAAGAUAAUGACGGUACUUGAGGAGGAAGCCCCGGCUAACUACGUGCCAGCCGCCGCCGUAA
This 467-nucleotide ribosomal RNA is filed under the name uncultured bacterium. Its description in RNAcentral is "partial 16S ribosomal RNA". It matches the Rfam family "Bacterial small subunit ribosomal RNA", at positions 28 to 523 of the family's 1533-position model. The record is from RNAcentral.